RNAcentral lists this long non-coding RNA (204 nucleotides) under Vigna radiata. RNAcentral describes it as "long non-coding RNA (VRAD_LNC012640)". Lineage: Eukaryota; Viridiplantae; Streptophyta; Magnoliopsida; Fabales; Fabaceae. The record is from RNAcentral.
CGGCCUUGUAAACUUACCUUCCAAAGAAUAAACUGGUACGACCUUAUUCUAAGACUCCAUUUUAUUUAUCUCUUUUGAAAGGAAAAAGGGAAGAACAUUUGUACAUUUGGGUUGCAUAUUUGCUUCUCUUUCCAGCGAGAAGGGUUCUCAUAACCUUUGACGAUGCUGAUAAAACCUUCAACAGUCGGUGACGACAGGGUCCAG